UAGGGAAUAUUGGACAAUGGGGGCAACCCUGAUCCAGCCAUGCCGCGUGAGUGAAGAAGGCCCUCGGGUUGUAAAGCUCUUUUGUCCGGAAAGAAAAGCAUUCGGUGAAUACCCGGAUGUUCUGACGGUACCGGAAGAAUAAGCACCGGCUAACUUCGUGCCAGCAGCCGCGGUAAUACGAAGGGUGCAAGCGUUACUCGGAAUUACUGGGCGUAAAGCGUGCGUAGGUGGUUGUUUAAGUCUGAUGUGAAAGCCCUGGGCUCAACCUGGGAAUGGCAUUGGAAACUGGGCAUCUAGAGGGCGGUAGAGGGUAGUGGAAUUCCCGGUGUAGCAGUGAAAUGCGUAGAGAUCGGGAGGAACAUCUGUGGCGAAGGCGACUGCCUGGACCAGCACUGACACUGAGGCACGAAAGCGUGGGGAGCAAACA
RNAcentral lists this ribosomal RNA (427 nucleotides) under uncultured bacterium. RNAcentral describes it as "bacterial SSU rRNA". It matches the Rfam family "Bacterial small subunit ribosomal RNA", at positions 355 to 774 of the family's 1533-position model. The record is from RNAcentral.